Long non-coding RNA from Triticum aestivum (bread wheat), 1432 nucleotides. RefSeq lists it as uncharacterized. The transcript has 2 exons. The record is from RefSeq and is a predicted model, not a curated record. Lineage: Eukaryota; Viridiplantae; Streptophyta; Magnoliopsida; Poales; Poaceae.
CCCAUUGAACCCACGUUCUUCCCUGGUCAAUCCCCAACCCACCUCUCCCCGAUGCCCACGGCCCAGCGCCACCACCCCCAAUCGCUCCCCAAUCCCCACCCCCACGAGCAUGCCGCUCCGGUGCGGUGUAGGAUCCGGAUCGGGCUCAGCACCCCAGCCGCCCCACUCCUCCUUCCUCUGCCCCCUCAUCCCAACCUUCCUCCAACUCCACCGGCAACCACGGCAGCCGCCGAGGUCACCGUGGCCCUCUCCUCCCUAGAUCCGGCGAGCCCCCCAUGGCCCUCUCCUCCCUGCACCCCACCGCGACCGGCCCGCGGCCUUCCUCCCCUCGCCGGUGAGCUGCGGUGUUCCUCCACCGACAGAUCCAGGCCACGGCGGCCCCCCUCACAAUGCCCCGUCGCCAGAUCCGGUGGCCCACGCUGCCCCUCCGCCUACCAGCAGGCGCGGCCUCCCCGUCCACUCGACGGCUACCACGGGAUGGCUGGCGGUCUCCCAUGGCCUUCUCCCACCUCUGUACUCGCCGGCCGCCGCACCCACAAGCCAUCGGUGGCGGUACCGUGCAGUCCACUGCAUUUGUGCACACAGCACACCCAUUCUGCAGGCUGAAGAACUUGCAACAUUCUACUUGUCGUCCAGGACUUGAACGCGAGGACGCAGAUGUACAAGGCGGAAACUCCGACGUAGGUCACGCUGACCGCCUACAAGGACAAUACCUUCGAGUUUGUGGUGAAGUCGCCGUCGGUCUCAUGGUUCCUCAAGAAGGCGGCGGGCAUCGAGACGGCGAGCAGCCGGCCGGGCCACAACAUCAUCAUGGUGACGUCCCUCUCGCUCUGGCAUGUGUACGAGAUCGCCAAGCUGAAGCAGGCCGACCCGUUCUGCAAGCACAUGUCUGCUCGAGGCCCUGUGCAAUACAUCACAAGGUGAAGUGUCUUCAGGAUUACUUUGGUGCCAAUUUGCUUGGUUUCAUCACAAGGUCAAGGUGAAGUGUCCGCUCCUCGCACCUCUACCUCGCCACCGACGAGAACGCAACACAGGAGGAUCCCUCUCGAGUGGCUUGGAGUACCAUGGUUGGCUGUGUGCGUGCAGUUCCGAGGGCGUCGACAUGUCGUUCACAUUUUUUUGUUUUGGAAAAAAAAAAUCUCUAGUGCAGUGCUGUUCGAUUUAUUUGUUUCCGAAAAGAAGUCUGGUGCACUGCACUUUGCUUUUUUUAGAAGGCAUGCAGUACAGUUUUACUAUUUGCUUUCAUGCCGGCCAGAUUACUGGAUUUUAGCAGAAGAUGAGAGAACAUAAAAAAACACGUGUAUAUAUAGUAUUGAUUUUUUCUGUUCAUUGUGAAGACGCUUAUUGUUCACAUUGUAAAAAAACCAAAGAAGACGGUUCAUUGUAAAAUUUCCUAGGGAAACAAAAAGAAAAGCAAUGUGGUUCGCUUUCA